GGCCAAGAUGGUCGACCUCAAACUCAAUGGCAAUCGAGUCCUGGCCAGGGUGGCCCUGGUAGUGGUUUUGUGAGGCCCGCACGAGGUGGGCAUGGAGGUAGUGGAGGAGCAGGAGGAGGAAGAGAGGACUGGGGGCCUGCCGGUGGCAGGUUUCAGGGACACACUAGCACUGCUGUUUCUGUUCAUUCACGGAUAGAGCCACA
Molecule: unclassified non-coding RNA, 203 nt
Filed under: Hevea brasiliensis (rubber tree)
Lineage: Eukaryota; Viridiplantae; Streptophyta; Magnoliopsida; Malpighiales; Euphorbiaceae
Source: RNAcentral